RNAcentral lists this unclassified non-coding RNA (378 nucleotides) under plant metagenome. Its description in RNAcentral is "partial contains 5.8S ribosomal RNA, internal transcribed spacer 2, and large subunit ribosomal RNA". The stretch from base 1 to 105 matches the Rfam family "5.8S ribosomal RNA", at positions 50 to 154 of the family's 154-position model. The record is from RNAcentral.
GAAAUGCGAUAAGUAAUGUGAAUUGCAGAAUUCAGUGAAUCAUCGAAUCUUUGAACGCACCUUGCGCUCCUUGGUAUUCCUUGGAACAUGCCUGUUUGAGUAUCAUGAAAUCUUCAAAGUAAAUCUUUUGUUAACUCAAUUGGUUUCUACUUUGGUAUUGGAGGUCUUUGCAGCUUCACACCUGCUCCUCUUUGUUCAUUAGCUGGAUCUCAGUGUUAUGCUCGGUUCCACUCGGCGUGAUAAGUUAUCUAUCGCUGAGGACACUGUAAAAGGUGGCCAAGGUAAAUGCAGAUGAACCGCUUCUAAUAGUCCAUUGACUUGGACAAUACUUUUAUGAUCUGAUCUCAAAUCAGGUAGGACUACCCGCUGAACUUAAGC